AAAAGCACCCCGGAAGGGGAGUGAAAAGUAUCUGAAAUCAUGUGUCUACAAAGUGUCGGAGCGAAAGCGACGGCAUGCCUUUUGCAUAAUGAGCCUGCGACUUACUCUAACGAGCGAGGUUAAGCCGAGUGCGGAGCCGAAGCGAAAGCGAGUGUGAAUAGCGCGUCUAGUUCGUUGGAGUAGACCCGAAGCUGAGUGAUCUAUCCAUGGCCAGGUUGAACCUGCAGUAACAUGCAGCGGAGGACCGAACCAGUUCAUGUUGAAAAAUGUUUGGAUGAGCUGUGGAUAGGGGUGAAAGGCCAAUCAAACUCAGUGAUAGCUGGUUCUCUUCGAAAUAGCUUUAGGGCUAGCCUUGCGUAAAUAGUUUGUGGGGGUAGAGCUACUGAUUGUUCGCGGGCCCUUACCGGGGUACCAAGAACUAUUAAACUCCGAAUACCAUGAACCGUACCGCAGGAGUCAGACUAUGGGGGAUAAGCUUCAUGGUCGAGAGGGAGACAGCCCAGACCGCCGGCUAAGGUCCCCAAUCUGGACUUAGUGGUUUGAAGGAUGUGAUGUUGCAUAAACAGCCAGGAUGUUGGCUUAGAGGCAGCCAUCAUUUAAAGAGUGCGUAAUAGCUCACUGGUCGAGUGAUAUCGCGCCGAAGAUGAUCGGGACUGAAGUCCAGAACCGAAGCCGCGGAUCGUGAAUUUAUUCACGGUGGUAGAAGAGCGUUGUAUGCGGGUCGAAGCCGAAGAGGGAUCUGAGGUGGACUGCAUACAAGUGACCAUGCAGGCAUGAGUAGCGAAAAACCGGAUGAGAAUUCCGGUCACCGAAAACCUAAGGUUUCCCGGGGAAGGUUCGUCCGCCCGGGGUUAGUCGGAACCUAAGGCGAGGCCGAAAGGCGUAGUCGAUGGAGGACAGGUUAAUAUUCCUGUACCACCUUGUUGGAGUGAUGGAGGGACGCAGUAAGUCAGGUGAGCCAACUGCUGAAUAUGUUGGUCGAAGGCCGUAGGGCGCACGAUAGGCAAAUCCGUCGUGCUUUCAACCCGAGAGUCGUAAGGUAGCCGAACGCAAGUUUGGCGAAUUCACUGUGACGACGCUGACGAGAAAAGCUUCUAAACGUUGAAAACAGGGUGUCCGUACCGAAACCGACACAGGUAGGUGAGGCGAGUAGCCUAAGGUGCGCGAGAGAAACCAACGUUAAGGAACUCGGCAAAUUGACCCCGUAACUUAGGGAUAAGGGGUGCCGCUUCAGGUGAAGGGACUUGCUCCCGGAGCCCGGAGCGGUUGCAACAAAGAGGCUGGGGCGACUGUUUAACAAAAACACAGCUCUAUGCUAACUCGCAAGAGGAUGUAUAUGGAGUGACACGUGACCAAUGCCAAAAGGUCAAUGGGAGAGGUUAGCGCAAGCGAAGCUUCGAUCUGAAGCCCUGGUGAAUGUCGGCCGUAACUAUAACGGUCCUAAGGUAGCGAAAUUCCUUGUCGGGUAAGUUCCG
This 1475-nucleotide ribosomal RNA is filed under the name human gut metagenome. RNAcentral describes it as "bacterial LSU rRNA". It matches the Rfam family "Bacterial large subunit ribosomal RNA", at positions 517 to 1985 of the family's 2925-position model. The record is from RNAcentral.